UUGAAUCAGAAACCCUAAUUCCUAAUUUCAAACCCUAACCCUUCCACCCUCACCAUCCCUCAGCCGUACCCCACCCCCCUUCCUAAACACAACACGCAUAAACAAAAGAAAGAAACAGAGAAAUGAAAAAGGGAGAACAGAGGGCUUGGAAUCGGAGAGGAGGGAGACGCCGUCGUCACCUCCGUCGGGUGUCACCAUCGGUCACUGCUACCUCACCGUCGCCUCCUUCGUCGCGCGCUACUGCCGGCCUGGAAUCGCCGCCACUGCACCUUGCCCGCUUGUCGCCGCCGUUCCGUGGAGUCCGCCCUGGUGCCGGUUGAUCAGAGAUGAGGGAUAGGCGUCGAGAGAGAGAUGCAAUGGAGGUCAGAGGGAAGAGCUGCCAUCACCGCCGUCCCGUCUAUGAAGCCUGAGCUCGCGUUGCCGUCCUGAGCUUCGGCGCCGCCGUGGAGGAGAGUGGAGUAGUCACCGCCGUUGGAGAGAGGGAGAGCCAGAAGAGGACGAGACGUGUGAGAAAGGAGACGCACAGGGGAGGAACCGUUCCUCUGCCGCCGCUAUCGCCGGAAUUUCUGGUCGCCGUCGUCGUUCAUGGUAAGUCAGUUAAGUCAUAGCCAUGAGAACCGCUACCUCUGAACCCCAGUUGCUCUGUAACAAUCCUGUAUUUUCCUCUGAUAUUGUCGACUCUGUUCUGCUUUUCUUUUGUUUUGUCGUUCUUACUUCGUUGGUGUCCUUGUUGUUCUAACCGAUUUGAUUGGUGCUGCUGCUAAGACGUAUGCCCUGCUCUCUGGUUUCUGUUUUUCCGAGUACCAGAGCUGCUGCUCCAUUCCCGUAUUUCUUUUGGUAAGAUAGGUUUUGUUCUACAAUCAAUAUUCUGAUUACUGCUCCUUUGAUGAUCUGUUCUGUUUUACCCUUGUGUUUGCUUCAGCCUCUAUUAAAUUCCCUUCCAAAAUUGCUGUUGCUGCUACUAGAGUUGUGGGUGAUGCCGCUGCCAUUCCAGUUGUAUUGGAAUGACUACCUGCCACAAUUUGGGGAUAAAGGAAAUUGUUACGUUAAAUAAUACGAUUCUGGCUAAUUGAGUGACAUAGGUUUGAAGACUCAG
Non-coding RNA from Arachis ipaensis, 1096 nucleotides. Lineage: Eukaryota; Viridiplantae; Streptophyta; Magnoliopsida; Fabales; Fabaceae. The record is from RefSeq and is a predicted model, not a curated record.